UUCCGGUUGAUCCUGCCGGAUCCUACUGCUAUCGGGAUGAGACUAAAACAUGCUAGUUGCGCGCACCUUAGCUAUGUUAGGAGCGCAGCGAACGGCUCCGUAACACGUUGUCAAUCUAACCUUAGGAUGGGAAUAACCCCGGGAAACUGGGGCUAAUACCUGAUAGGCGAAAAAUUCUGGAAUGAUUUUUCACUCAAAGAGUUAUAGGAACAUGCUUCUUUAACUGCCUAAGGAUGAGACUGCGUCCGAUCAGGUUGUUGGUGGGGUGAUGGCCUACCAAGCCUAUAACCGGUACGGGCCCUGAGAGGGGGAGCCCGGAGAUGGGAACUGAGACAAGGUCCCAGACCCUAAGGGGUGCAGCAGUUGCGAAACCUCUACAAUGCACGAAAGUGUGAUAGGGUUAUCCCGAGUGCCGUCCGAUGAGGAUGGCUUUUACCUGGUGUAAGGAGCCAGGAGAAUAAAGGGGGGGCAAGACUGGUGUCAGCCGCCGCGGUAAUACCAGCCCCCUGAGUGGUAGGGAUGAUUAUUUGGCCUAAAGCGUCCGUAGCCGGCUCAGCAAGUCUUUCGUUAAAUCCGGUGACUUAAUCAUCGGGCCGCGAGAGAUACUACUAGGCUUGAGGGCGGGAGAGGUCGACGGUAUUCCGGGGGUAGGGGUAAAAUCCUAUAAUCCUCGGAGGACCACCAGUGGCGAAGGCGGUCGACUAGAACGUGCCUGACGAUGAUGGACGAAAGCUGGGGGAGCAAACCGGAUUAGACACCCGGGUAGUCCCAGCCGUAAACGAUGCGGGCUAGGUGUUGGGUCAGCUACGAGCUGCUCCAGUGCCGAAGAGAAGUCAUUAAGCCCGCCGCCUGGGAAGUACGGUCGCAAGACUGAAACUUAAAGGGAAUUGGCGGGGAGCACCACAAGGGGUGAAGCCUGCGGUUCAUUGGAUCACGCCGGU
RNAcentral lists this ribosomal RNA (941 nucleotides) under uncultured archaeon. Its description in RNAcentral is "bacterial SSU rRNA". It matches the Rfam family "Archaeal small subunit ribosomal RNA", at positions 1 to 922 of the family's 1478-position model. The record is from RNAcentral.